Saimiri boliviensis boliviensis (Bolivian squirrel monkey) is the source of this 4039-nucleotide non-coding RNA. The record is from RefSeq and is a predicted model, not a curated record. NCBI's taxonomy places the organism in Eukaryota, Metazoa, Chordata, Mammalia, Primates, Cebidae.
UUUCCCAGAUUCUUCAAGAAUUCGUAGUCUGGACUGCCUGGUCUAGAAUGCCCUUUCUCCUUUCACAUUCAAGUAGACUUUUUAUUUCCUCCUUCUUAUGCUGCUGAGAGAAAAAGAGAGCAUUGACUAAAAUGUCUCGGGUUUAAUGUUUUCGCUUUUAACAAAUUUCUGACUUAGCUUUUUAAACCUAUUGGCUUCUUUAAUGGGCGCUGAUUUUUUGGUAACCAAUUGUAAUCACAAUGUUCUAAAUUAAUAAAUGAAAAUGAAUUAUGUUUCAGAUUUUUCAAGAAUGCAGAAGCGAACGAAUUGGAAACUUCUGUAUGGGUUUUUCAUCUAGUAAAUGCUUAAUAAAUACAUGUGAUUGCCAAUAAUCUAAAGUUUCUCUAAAUCCAAGGCCUGAAAACCAGUAUGAUAAACUGAACUUAAAUACACAGCCUAUUACCUACUAAACAAAAUCCAGGUUCCAAGUAUCUGUUCAAUUUCCCCUUCCAUUUCCUUUGGUGAACGAUGGUUAAAGUUUUAAGACUCUAUUUCUUCGUAACAGUCUUGCCCCUUUGGGACGGGCCCUAUAAGUUUACGUUUGAGGUUGAAGCAGGAGACAAAUUAUGCAGCAACUUGCUUCUGCUUUACUGUUUUUUUUUCUGCACUAUCAGCCGCGCUUUCCAUUCUGAAGUCAACCACCCUCAUGCAAGUGUUGCCUCCACAUUAAACUAAGGGACUGAAGGGACAUUUUCAAUCAAACAACAAAGGCCUGGCCUUUCCGCCGCAGGCAGCGCGCCUCCCCAGACUACCGGUCCGGGGCAGAGACCACCCCAACCCGGCAGGAAUGCGGGGCCCGGCCCGAGGGCGGGCGGGGUCAAGGGACGAGCCUGCGCUGCCAGCCGAAGGCCGCCUACAGGGAGCCAAGCCUGAGGCCAACCGUGUAGGAAAGCAACCGGGACUAACAGAAACGUUUCCCUGGACCUUGGCGACCACUCACCCAUCGGCCGCCUGAAGGUUUCGCUGGAGAAGCACUAGAUCAGCGGAUCUGGCAGCUACACCGAACAUCCGGGCCACAGCGGGCUCGGCGGCUCCGCCUCCCAGUAACCGGGACAACCGCUCCGAAGUUCCUCCCCCACUUCCGGGUUUAGGCUCCGAGGCCCCGCCCCCAGUGGUGCUGCUUCGCGUCCCGCCCUCUUCGCGCGGAGUCACAGGAGCUCCUGAAGCCAGCUCUGCGGGACUGCGCUGGUGUCCCCGGACACAGACCAUGGACAGCGCGCUAGCGGUGCUGCGGCCGCCUCCUCAUGAUCCGGAGACGCCGGCGCUGUCGGUGGUGGACAUGCAUACGGGCGGCGAGCCCCUGCGCAUCGUGCUGGCGGGGUGUCCGGAGGUGGUCGGGCCAACCCUGCUGGCCAAGCGGCGCUACAUGCGCCAGCACCUUGACCACGUGCGGCGACGGCUCAUCUUCGAGCCCCGAGGGCACCGGGACAUGUACGGAGCAGUCCUAGUGCAGAGCGAGCUGCCAGACGCGCACCUGGGCGUCCUUUUCCUGCAUAACGAAGGCUACAGCUCCAUGUGCGGCCACGCUGUGCUGGCCCUGGGCCGCUUCGCCCUGGACUACGGGCUGGUGCCGGUGCCGUUUGCGGGCAGUCGCGAGGCCCGCGUCAACAUUCACUGCCCGUGCGGGCUGGUGGCCGCCUUCGUGGCGUGUGAGGACGGCCGCAGCCGCGGCCCGGUGCGCUUCCACAGCGUCCCAGCCUUCGUGCUAGCCACAGAUCUCAUGGUGGAUGUUCCUGGACAUGGAAAGGUGGUGGUGGACAUCGCAUAUGGCGGUGCAUUUUAUGCAUUUGUGAGUGCUGAAAAGUUAGGACUAGACAUUUGUUCUGCAAAGACCAGGGACGUUGUGGAUGCAGCGAGUGGAGUGACAGAGGCAGUAAAAGCUCAGUUUAAAAUUAAUCAUCCUGAUAGUGAAGACCUUGCCUUUUUAUAUGGAACUAUAUUAACAGAUGGAAAAGAUGCUUAUACCAAGGAACCAACCACCAACAUUUGUGUUUUUGCAGAUGAACAGGUUGACAGAAGUCCCACUGGCUCAGGAGUGACAGCCCGAAUUGCCUUACAGUAUCACAAAGGGCUUCUAGAACUGAACCAGACCAGAGCCUUUAAAAGCAGUGCAACUGGCUCAGUAUUCACAGGGAAAGCUGUGAGGGUAAGUGACACCCUUAGCUUCUUAUUUAUAAAUGUGUCAUUUAUGAGACUGAAGAGGCCUGAGGUAGGUGUUGGAUAAAUGUCUUCACUCAGCUCUCAGGAGAGAGUUUUAAAGAGUUUAAAAACUUCUUUUCAACUAGGAUAUUGAUUCUCAAGUGUGAUCUAAGGUCCUUUCCAUGGGUUCAGAAGAUCAAAACUAUGUUGACAAUAAUGACACUAUUUGCUUUUCACUCUCAUUCUCUCAAGAGUGCACAGUGUAGUUCUUCAGAGGCUAUGCGUUCUAUGCUAACCCAACCAAUUGAAUGCAGAAGCUAGAUAUGAGAACCUAGGUGCUUUCUAUUAAGCCAGACAUAAAAGAGGUUUGCAAAAAUAUCAAACAAUGCCACGUUUCUCAUAAUUUUUUUUUGUUUUGGCAAACAUAGUUAUUUUCACAAAAAUAUAUUAUUCAUAUGUUAAUGAUAAUGGGUUUAUGAUUUUUUAAAAGCAGUAAUAAAUAGGUAUAUCCAAUUCCUAAUACUGUAAAUAUUGAUAGAUAUAAACAAAAACUCUUUGGAGUCCUCAAAUCUUAAGGUAUAAAAGGGUCCUGAGACCAAAAGGUUUGAGAACCACUAAAUUGAGGUUUGGGUUUUUUGUUUGUUUUUGUUUUAUUUUAUAAUAGUGUUUUAUUGUAUAUAAUAGGAUGUGAAAGCCCUGAAAAGUUGUGGAACAUCAAAGUAAAUAUGCUAAGAGCUAAGUAAUGAAUCUUACCACAGUAGUAAAUAAAAUCUACUACAGAGUGAUUAAUCUACAUUUAGCAAAUGAAUCUACUCAUAAACAGUCCUUUAACAUAGCAAACAAUCUAUCCUAAUAUAGCUGUCUUUAAGAUACGGUGUUUCUGAAUAUUAGAAUUUCUUUAAGAAUCUGUGCAACACGUGAUGAUCUUAAACGUGUGAAACCAUUUAUGUUGUAUGCAAAAAUUCAGAACACAUUUUCUUCAGAAUCUGAAAGUAACAUAAAAAUAAUAACAUACAUGUAUUGGAUACUUCACUGUCCAUCAGUUUCCAAGCUAAGCACUUGAUACAUGUCAUCUCAUUUAAUCCUCACAAGAAUCCUACAAGGUCAGUACUGUAUUGUUAUUAUCCUUUUUUAGUAGAUGAUAAAAUGGAGGAUUGGAGAAGUUAGGUAAUUUGCUGGUGGUUAGUCAAUGAGUAGCAGAUUGAGGUCAUGAACAUGGGUCUCUCUGAACAGACCACAUGCUGUUAAGCACUACAUUAUGUUGCUAUCAAACAAAGCAAAGGUCAAUGAGGCUUUAAUAUUAUAGGAGCUGUUAUGAGAAGAAUCUGGGACUGUAAUGUCCCCCCAAAUAGAGAAGGAGCCCAUAAACCAAAGAAUGACUCAAACAAGUCCAGGAAGCGAAAUGUGGUGAUUUUAAAGCUGUUAUAGUAGAAGUAUCAGGACAAGCCCAUUACACAGGUACAGCAAGCUUUACAGUAGAAGAUGAUGACCCACUGAAGGAUGGAUUUCUUCUCAAGUGACUUCUUCCAUGAUUGUAAGGGCUUUCUUCUUAAUCAUUAUCCAUAAGUAAUUUUUUCUCUAAAUUAUGUGGAAACCAAUAUUCAAAUUAUACGUAUAAGCUAACUUUCAUUUUUUUCUAAAAUAAUACUGUGGCUAAAUAUAAAGUCAUUAUACCUCAUAUUUGCAACUGUAUUUUGGUAUAAAUAUCACUUAUGUCUAGCAUACAAAAUGACAGAAAUUUAGAGUCUUUUUCUAGUGAUUAACCUAUCAGAUAAAAUUAAAACAGUUGUUACUUUUAAAAUAUUGCUUUAUAGUAAUUACUACUAAUAUCAUAUUUGUUUUAAAGGCUCUUUGAAUAAUA